CCUACGGGAGGCAGCAGUGAGGAAUAUUGGUCAAUGGACGAGAGUCUGAACCAGCCAAGUCGCGUGAAGGAUGACGGCCCUAUGGAUUGUAAACUUCUUUUAUAUGGGAAUAAAAUGUUGUACGUGUGGGAUUUUGUAUGUACCAUAUGAAUAAGGAUCGGCUAACUCCGUGCCAGCAGCCGCGGUAAUACGGAGGAUCCGAGCGUUAUCCGGAUUUAUUGGGUUUAAAGGGAGCGUAGGUGGAUUGUUAAGUCAGUUGUGAAAGUUUGUGGCUCAACCGUAGAAUUGCAGUUGAAACUGGCAGUCUUGAGUACAGUAGAGGUAGGCGGAAUUCGUGGUGUAGCGGUGAAAUGCUUAGAUAUCACGAAGAACCCCGAUGGCGAAGGCAGUUCACUGGACUGCAACUGACGCUGAGGCUCGAAAGUGUGGGGAUCAAACAGGAUUAGAUACCCGAGUAGUC
Molecule: ribosomal RNA, 460 nt
Filed under: uncultured bacterium
Lineage: Bacteria
Description: partial 16S ribosomal RNA
Rfam family: Bacterial small subunit ribosomal RNA
Source: RNAcentral